GCUGGAAUAGCUCAGAGGUAGAGCACUUCACUCGUAAUGAAGGGGUCGUGGGUUCAAUUCCCACUUCCAGCU
RNAcentral lists this transfer RNA (72 nucleotides) under Eubacteriales bacterium. RNAcentral describes it as "tRNA-Thr". It matches the Rfam family "tRNA". Rfam says of the family: Transfer RNA (tRNA) molecules are approximately 80 nucleotides in length. Lineage: Bacteria; Bacillati; Bacillota; Clostridia; Eubacteriales. The record is from RNAcentral.